Molecule: transfer RNA, 76 nt
Filed under: Opisthopatus cinctipes
Lineage: Eukaryota; Metazoa; Onychophora; Udeonychophora; Euonychophora; Peripatopsidae
Description: tRNA-Ala
Source: RNAcentral
AUAUAUGUAUUUAAAUUAUAAAAUUUGAAUUGCAAUCAAAAAUUAAUUUCUAUGUAGUUUCGACCUAUAAUAUUAA